RNAcentral lists this ribosomal RNA (229 nucleotides) under uncultured bacterium. RNAcentral's name for it is "partial 16S ribosomal RNA". It matches the Rfam family "Bacterial small subunit ribosomal RNA", at positions 15 to 231 of the family's 1533-position model. The record is from RNAcentral.
GAUCCUGGCUCAGGAUGAACGCUAGCUACAGGCUUAACACAUGCAAGUCGAGGGGCAGCUAUGGUCUUUAGCUUGCUAAAGGUCCGAUGGCGACCGGCGCACGGGUGAGUAACACGUAUCCAACCUGCCGUCUACUCUUGGACAGCCUUCUGAAAGGAAGAUUAAUACAAGAUGGCAUCAUGAGUUCACAUGUUCACAUGAUUAAAGGUAUUCCGGUAGACGAUGGGGA